GAUGAACGCUGGCGGCGUGCCUAAUACAUGCAAGUCGAGCGAACAGACGAGGAGCUUGCUCCUCUGACGUUAGCGGCGGACGGGUGAGUAACACGUGGAUAACCUACCUAUAAGACUGGGAUAACUUCGGGAAACCGGAGCUAAUACCGGAUAAUAUAUUGAACCGCAUGGUGCAAUAGUGAAAGACGGUUUUGCUGUCACUUAUAGAUGGAUCCGCGCCGCAUUAGCUAGUUGGUAAGGUAACGGCUUACCAAGGCAACGAUGCGUAGCCGACCUGAGAGAGUGAUCGGCCACACUGGAACUGAGACACGGUCCAGACUCCUACGGGAGGCAGCAGUAGGGAAUCUUCCGCAGUGGGCGAAAGCCUGACGGAGCAACGCCGCGUGAGUGAUGAAGGUCUUCGGAUCGUAAAACUCUGUUAUUAGGGAAGAACAAAUGUGUAAGUAACUAUGCACGUCUUGACGGUACCUAAUCAGAAAGCCACGGCUAACUACGUG
Molecule: ribosomal RNA, 497 nt
Filed under: uncultured bacterium
Lineage: Bacteria
Description: partial 16S ribosomal RNA
Rfam family: Bacterial small subunit ribosomal RNA
Source: RNAcentral